UUGCACAAUGGGCGAAAGCCUGAUGCAGCGACGCCGCGUGAGGGAUGAAGGCCUUCGGGUUGUAAACCUCUUUCAGUAGGGAAGAAGCCGGCCUUUUGGGUUGGUGACGGUACCUGCAGAAGAAGCGCCGGCUAACUACGUGCCAGCAGCCGCGGUAAUACGUAGGGCGCAAGCGUUAUCCGGAAUUAUUGGGCGUAAAGAGCUCGUAGGCGGUUUGUCGCGUCUGCCGUGAAAGUCCGGGGCUUAACCCCGGAUCUGCGGUGGGUACGGGCAGACUAGAGUGCAGUAGGGGAGACUGGAAUUCCUGGUGUAGCGGUGAAAUGCGCAGAUAUCAGGAGGAACACCGAUGGCGAAGGCAGGUCUCUGGGCUGUAACUGACGCUGAGGAGCGAAAGCAUGGGGAGCGAACAGGAUUAGAUACCCUGGUAGUCCAUGCCGUAAACGUUGGGCACUAGGUGUGGGGGACAUUCCACGUUUUCCGCGCCGUAGCUAACGCAUUAAGUGCCCCGCCUGGGGAGUACGGCCGCAAGGCUAAAACUCAAAGGAAUUGACGGGGGCCCGCACAAGCGGCGGAGCAUGCGGAUUAAUUCGAUGCAACGCGAAGAACCUUACCAAGGCUUGACAUGAACCGGAAUGAUGCAGAGAUGUGUCAGCCACUUGUGGCCGGUUUA
This 670-nucleotide ribosomal RNA is filed under the name Arthrobacter sp. RNAcentral's name for it is "bacterial SSU rRNA". It matches the Rfam family "Bacterial small subunit ribosomal RNA", at positions 364 to 1034 of the family's 1533-position model. The record is from RNAcentral. Lineage: Bacteria; Bacillati; Actinomycetota; Actinomycetes; Micrococcales; Micrococcaceae.